This 73-nucleotide transfer RNA is filed under the name Sceloporus occidentalis. Its description in RNAcentral is "tRNA-Trp". It matches the Rfam family "tRNA". Rfam says of the family: Transfer RNA (tRNA) molecules are approximately 80 nucleotides in length. Their secondary structure includes four short double-helical elements and three loops (D, anti-codon, and T loops). Lineage: Eukaryota; Metazoa; Chordata; Lepidosauria; Squamata; Phrynosomatidae. The record is from RNAcentral.
AGAGGCUUAGGAUAAUCUUAAACCAAGGGCCUUCAAAGCCCUAAACAGGGACUAUAACCCCCUAGCCUCUGUC